RNAcentral lists this long non-coding RNA (1219 nucleotides) under Trifolium pratense (red clover). Its description in RNAcentral is "long non-coding RNA (TPRA_LNC010113)". The record is from RNAcentral. Lineage: Eukaryota; Viridiplantae; Streptophyta; Magnoliopsida; Fabales; Fabaceae.
UACAAAUAAAAUGACAAAAACAAUGCAUUGUUUUUACAGUGCAAGGACCUGCUACCAAAACAAAUGCAUCCAGACUAGCAUAAGCUCCCACUUCCAAGUCAAGCAAGUGACAACAAAACUCCCUUCCAAAGCUAGUUCACGAUGAAAAAACCNNNNNNNNNNNNNNNNNNNNNNNNNNNNNUAGUCACAUUAUGCACACCAGUAACUUAAUCAGCCCAUCUUCCAAUCCUCAAAAAACUUUGGGAGUAAUCCUCAGAUACUUUGAAGGCAGUAAAGAGGAUUAGCACACCAGUUAUAAUAUAGAUGAUCUGCUCUACGGCCUGCUCUACCACUAAACCAAAGCCACGAGAUGAAUUUAAUGGAAUCAACCAACGCAGAAUAGUUCGUCGUCUCUCCUCUGAACAAGAUAUUAUUCCUCAUGCGCCAAAUACACCAAGUUGUGGCUAACCAAAUCAAGUGCCUAACUUUCAUUCCCUUCUUCACUUUAACUAAGGAUCCAAACCUCAAAAAAUGUAUCCAGCCCCCUUUUUGAUGAUUGUAAUCAAAACCCAACCACAAAAAAAUUUGCCUCCAUACUUCAUAGAUUUUAUGACAGCUAAAAAAAACAUGGUUGCAGUCUUCCACUACUUGAAAACAGAAAACGCAAGAUAAAUCAUGAGAAUUGGUUAAAAUACCUUUAGAUGCUAGGGCUGCACGGGUAGGAAGUUUCUCAAGAAGCAAGCGCCAACCAAAGACUCCUACUUUUGACGGAACAUCAUUCUUCCAUAAUUUGCGCAAAGCAUAAGUUAAAUCUGAUGCUAAAUGGAUCGGAGCCGAUCGGGAGUGCAAGAAAAUAUAGGCAGAUUUGACACUAAAAAUACCUGAACCAGUCAAUGUCCAACGCCAUCUAUCUUCCCUAUCCAAAUACAAAUUCAGACCAAACAAAAGUUGCUCAAGAGCAGCCUUCUCUGCACCUUCCUCUUGAGAUAAAGUUUCCAGCCAAUCUGAAUUCCAAAGUAGCACACAGUUGCUUGCUUGAAUUAAACUAGAAACCACGCGAUCUUUAUGUAGCUCCUUUUCAAAUAAAAGUGGAAAAGAAUCCCGUAAAGGAGCAUCACCAAACCAUUUCUCUUUCCAAAAACAUAUAGAAUCACCCUUGCCCAAAAUGCUACUGACAUUUAAAGGGAACCAAUAAUCAUCAGCCCUCCCGCCUACUCCCGCCACAUCUCUCCACCAAAUC